UAUUUUGACUAUGCGAAGGUAUUGAAAUAAGGCUUUAAAUGAGUGCUAAGAGAAUGGUUUAACAAUUAUAAGCUUUCUUUAAUUAAAAAAUUAAAUUUAAUUUUUUUGUGAAGAAGCAAAAAUUUAAAUUAGGGACAAGAAGACCCUAUGAAUUUUAUAUUAAAUAAUAUAAUUUAAUUAAAUUAUAUUAUUUGAAUUAAUUGGGGUGAUUUAAAAAGAAUAUAUAUCUUUUUAAAAAGUUAAUUUGUUCCGUUUUUAACGAUUUUAUGAAAAAAAUA
Molecule: ribosomal RNA, 278 nt
Filed under: Ixodes canisuga
Lineage: Eukaryota; Metazoa; Arthropoda; Arachnida; Ixodida; Ixodidae
Description: partial large subunit ribosomal RNA
Source: RNAcentral